CCUACGGGUGGCAGCAGUGAGGAAUAUUGGUCAAUGGACGCAAGCCUGAACCAGCCAUGCCGCGUGCAGGAUGACGGCUCUAUGAGUUGUAAACUGCUUUUGUACGAGGGUAAACGCAGACACGCGUAUCUGUCUGAAAGUAUCGUACGAAUAAGGAUCGGCUAACUCCGUUCCAGCAGCCGCGGUAAUACGGAGGAUUCAAGCGUUGUCCGGAUUUCUUGGGUUUAAAGGGUGCGUAGGCUGUCGGAUAAGUUAGGGGUGAAAUCACGAGGCUCAACUUCGGAAUUGCCUCUGAUACUGGUCGGCUAGAGAGUAGUUGCGGUAGGCGGAAUGUAUGGUGUAGCGGUGAAAUGCUUAGAUAUCAUACAGAACACCGAUUGCGAAGGCAGCUUACCAAGCUACUACUGACGUUGAGGCACGAAAGCGUGGGGAGCAAACAGGAUUAGAUACCCUAGUAGUC
RNAcentral lists this ribosomal RNA (460 nucleotides) under uncultured bacterium. RNAcentral's name for it is "partial 16S ribosomal RNA". It matches the Rfam family "Bacterial small subunit ribosomal RNA", at positions 338 to 795 of the family's 1533-position model. The record is from RNAcentral.